RNAcentral lists this ribosomal RNA (824 nucleotides) under Cyclocosmia loricata. RNAcentral describes it as "eukaryotic LSU rRNA". It matches the Rfam family "Eukaryotic large subunit ribosomal RNA", at positions 52 to 510 of the family's 3401-position model. Lineage: Eukaryota; Metazoa; Arthropoda; Arachnida; Araneae; Ctenizidae. The record is from RNAcentral.
GGAGGAAAAGAAACCAACAGGAAUUCCCUUAGUAACGGCGAGCGAACAGGGAAGAGUCCAGCGCCGAAUUCCGCGCUCUCUGCGGGCGUCGGAAAAUGUGGCGUUUAGGAGGGAGCGUGCCGGGAGUCUGACCUUGCAGCAAGUCCCCCUGACCGGGGCAGUUACCCAGAGUGGGUGCGAGGCCCAUAGCUGCUCGGUCUCUCUCGGAUGCGACCUCUUGGGAGUCGGGUUGCUUGGGAGUGCAACCCUAAUUGGGUGGUAAACUCCACCUAAGACUAAAUACGGCCGUGAGACCGAUAGCAAACAAGUACCGUGAGGGAAAGUUGCAAAGAACUUUGAAGAGAGAGUUCAAGAGUACGUGAAACUGCUCAGAGGCAAACGGGUGGGCCCUCGAAAUCCGUCGGCGGGGGAUUCAGUCGGGAGGUGCGGGCUCGUGCGCUGGUCGAUCAAUCGGACCCUUUCCAGGGCCGGGCCAGUGUCGAAGUUCCGUGCGACCCGACGCACUUCCUCCCGCCCCAAGGACGCCGCAGCCGGUUGGGUAGCUGCGCGAGUCGGCCAUAAGGACGGGCGCGGAAGGUGGCCAGUGGCGUUCUUCGUGUUCGUCGCUGGUCGUUAUCCAGCCCGCCCGUGGCGCGACACCCGACCGAGGUCGAAGGGUCCCGGUCAGGACCUUGCCGUCCCCUCCCCCGUGGUUGAGCGGGCGCGCCGACAGGCGAUUCCCCGUGCGGUCGUCCCACUCUUCGAGUGGACGGCUGGCGGGUGGCGCCGUUAGUGAGGACGCGUCCCGCGCGGGGUUUUCCGGCGGCUUGCGGCGAGUAGGUCGG